Molecule: ribosomal RNA, 262 nt
Filed under: uncultured bacterium
Lineage: Bacteria
Description: partial 16S ribosomal RNA
Rfam family: Bacterial small subunit ribosomal RNA
Source: RNAcentral
GCAAGUCGAGCGGAAACGACACUAACAAUCCUCCGGGUGCGUUAAUGGGCGUCGAGCGGCGGACGGGUGAGUAAUGCCUAGGAAAUUGCCUUGAUGUGGGGGAUAACCAUUGGAAACGAUGGCUAAUACCGCAUAAUGCCUACGGGCCAAAGAGGGGGAUCUUCGGACCUCUCGCGUCAAGAUAUGCCUAGGUGGGAUUAGCUAGUUGGUGAGGUAAAGGCUCACCAAGGCAACGAUCCCUAGCUGGUCUGAGAGGAUGAUC